This 466-nucleotide ribosomal RNA is filed under the name uncultured bacterium. RNAcentral describes it as "partial 16S ribosomal RNA". It matches the Rfam family "Bacterial small subunit ribosomal RNA", at positions 36 to 507 of the family's 1533-position model. The record is from RNAcentral.
CGCCCUCUGGCGGCGUGCUUAACACAUGCAAGUCGAACGGAAAGGCCCUGCUUUUGUGGGGUGCUCGAGUGGCGAACGGGUGAGUAACACGUGAGUAACCUGCCCUUGACUUUGGGAUAACUUCAGGAAACUGGGGCUAAUACCGGAUAGGAGCUCCUGCUGCAUGGUGGGGGUUGGAAAGUUUCGGCGGUUGGGGAUGGACUCGCGGCUUAUCAGCUUGUUGGUGGGGUAGUGGCUUACCAAGGCUUUGACGGGUAGCCGGCCUGAGAGGGUGACCGGCCACAUUGGGACUGAGAUACGGCCCAGACUCCUACGGGAGGCAGCAGUGGGGAAUAUUGCACAAUGGGCGGAAGCCUGAUGCAGCAACGCCGCGUGCGGGAUGACGGCCUUCGGGUUGUAAACCGCUUUCGCCUGUGACGAAGCGUGAGUGACGGUAAUGGGUAAAGAAGCACCGGCUAACUACGUG